Transfer RNA from Ovis aries (sheep), 72 nucleotides. It matches the Rfam family "tRNA". From Rfam's summary of the family: Transfer RNA (tRNA) molecules are approximately 80 nucleotides in length. Their secondary structure includes four short double-helical elements and three loops (D, anti-codon, and T loops). Lineage: Eukaryota; Metazoa; Chordata; Mammalia; Artiodactyla; Bovidae. The record is from Rfam.
UCCCUGGUGGCUCAGAUGGUAAAGCAUCUGCCUGCAAGGCAGGAGACCAGGGUUUGAUCCCUGUGCUGGGAA